UUCGUGUGAACAGUGGUUGAUCACGAGUUAGUCGGUCCUAAGUUCAAGGCGAAAGCCGAAAAUUUUCAAGUAUUUCAAAAAUCAAAAUAUAUUUGCAAUCCUAUUGAAUUUUUAAGCACUUGAAUAAUUUUGAACGAAAGGGAAUACGGUUCCAAUUCCGUAACCUGUUGAGUAUCCGUUUGUUAUUAAAUAUGGGCCUCGUGCUCAUCCUGGCAACAGGAACGACCAUAAAGAAGCCGUCGAGAGAUAUCGGAAGAGUUUUCUUUUCUGUUUUAUAGCCGUACUACCAUGGAAGUCUUUCGCAGAGAGAUAUGGUAGAUGGGCUAGAAGAGCAUGACAUAUACUGUUGUGUCGAUAUUUUCUCCUCGGACCUUGAAAAUUUAUGGUGGGGAUACGCAAACUUCUCAACAGGCCGUACCAAUAUCCGCAGCUGGUCUCCAAGGUGAAGAGUCUCUAGUCGAUAGAAUA
Molecule: ribosomal RNA, 468 nt
Filed under: Dichaetophora sp. PE1 (Gao)
Lineage: Eukaryota; Metazoa; Arthropoda; Insecta; Diptera; Drosophilidae
Description: partial 28S ribosomal RNA
Rfam family: Eukaryotic large subunit ribosomal RNA
Source: RNAcentral